CCUACGGGUGGCAGCAGUGAGGAAUAUUGGUCAAUGGACGAAAGUCUGAACCAGCCACGUCGCGUGCAGGAUGACUGCUCUAUGGGUUGUAAACUUCUUUUAUACAGGAGUAAACCUAGACACGUGUGCCUUUUUGCAUGUACUUUAUGAAUAAGGCUCGGCUAACUCCGUGCCAGCAGCCGCGGUAAUACGGAGGAUCUGAGCGUUAUCCGGAUUUAUUGGGUUUAAAGGGUGCGUAGAUGGGUUGUUAAGUCAGUUGUGAAAGGUGGGGGCUCAACUGUAGAAUGGCAAAUGAUACUGGGAGUGUAGAGUAGAGGUGAGGUAGGCGGAAUGCGUGGUGUAGCAGUGAAAUGCUUAGAUAUCGCGAAGAACCCCGAUUGCGAAGGCAGGUUACUAAACUAUAACUGACGUUGAGGCACGAAAGCGUGGGUAUCGAACAGGAUUAGAUACCCUAGUAGUC
RNAcentral lists this ribosomal RNA (460 nucleotides) under uncultured bacterium. RNAcentral's name for it is "partial 16S ribosomal RNA". It matches the Rfam family "Bacterial small subunit ribosomal RNA", at positions 338 to 795 of the family's 1533-position model. The record is from RNAcentral.